RNAcentral lists this ribosomal RNA (510 nucleotides) under uncultured bacterium. Its description in RNAcentral is "partial 16S ribosomal RNA". It matches the Rfam family "Bacterial small subunit ribosomal RNA", at positions 28 to 507 of the family's 1533-position model. The record is from RNAcentral.
GACGAACGCUGGCGGCGUGCUUAACACAUACAAGUCGAACGAAGAGCGAUGGAAGCUUGCUUCUAUCAAUCUUAGUGGCGAACGGGUGAGUAACGCGUAAUCAACCUGCCCUUCAGAGGGGGACAACAGUUGGAAACGACUGCUAAUACCGCAUACGAUCUAAUCUCGGCAUCGAGGAAAGAUGAAAGGUGGCCUCUAUUUAUAAGCUAUCACUGAAGGAGGGGAUUGCGUCUGAUUAGCUAGUUGGAUGGGUAACGGCCCACCAAGGCGAUGAUCAGUAGCCGGUCUGAGAGGACGAACGGCCACAUUGGGACUGAGACACGGCCCAGACUCCUACGGGAGGCAGCAGUGGGGAAUCUUCCGCAAUGGACGAAAGUCUGACGGAGCAACGCCGCGUGAGUGAUGACGGCCUUCGGGUUGUAAAGCUCUGUUAAUCGGGACGAAAGGCCUUCUUGCGAACAGUUAGAAGGAUUGACGGUACCGGAAUAGAAAGCCACGGCUAACUACGUG